This 21-nucleotide unclassified non-coding RNA is filed under the name Mus musculus (house mouse). RNAcentral describes it as "oocyte_clustered_small_RNA6504". The record is from RNAcentral. Lineage: Eukaryota; Metazoa; Chordata; Mammalia; Rodentia; Muridae.
CGGUACCGGUAGAGGCAGUGG